GCGUUCUCCAUCGCGCAGGUCGCGAAAUAGGAGCCCCCCACCCGAACAGAUACCUAUUCCUCCACGAAUAAAAAAAAAAACUCGACGAAUAAAUCCCCACUGGUAUCCCCGUCACAGCCGGCGGCGGUGGCGGUGGGGCGAUUGGCGGAUCCGCCACCGCGACUCAGUCGUUCGGCGGCGGCGGCGCGAUUGCCAGAGGAGGUUCGGUUGGUUCCUCGAUCGGUUUCCAAGAAAGAAGAUGAGUGCGGCGGGUGUGAAUGGAUCCGACAACAAAAGAAGCAGGUCCAGCCGAGACGAUCCCUUGGCCUUGCCGGAGAAGAAGAAGAAGGUGAUUGUGUGGAGAGAUCCAGACGCGUGGGUUAUCAGCGAUGCCGACCUGGCCAAGAUGAAACGGGACGAGGAAUCAGCUCCCCCGCCUGUGAAAAUCCCUACGCUCGAUUACUUCAAACCCCCGACCAGGUUUCACACCGCCGAGCUCUUCCCCGUCAGUGAAUCUGGAAGCAAGGCGGUGCUCUCUGCUGCCAAAUUCCUUCUAGGGGUUUCAUCCUCUCUUGAUGGUGAACCGCUGAGACGCUGCUCCGGCUUCUUGGUUGAUUGGGAUGAGGAGAAGAAAGCCGGCCUUGUUUUGACAACUGCGCGUCUGAUUCGCACAAAGGAUUCUCCUGACAGCGGCUGGUCAGGUGGCGAAGAGUAUGCUCCUCGUGCUGAU
This 709-nucleotide ribosomal RNA is filed under the name Triticum aestivum (bread wheat). RNAcentral's name for it is "partial small subunit ribosomal RNA". Lineage: Eukaryota; Viridiplantae; Streptophyta; Magnoliopsida; Poales; Poaceae. The record is from RNAcentral.